This 458-nucleotide ribosomal RNA is filed under the name Solen marginatus. RNAcentral's name for it is "partial large subunit ribosomal RNA". Lineage: Eukaryota; Metazoa; Mollusca; Bivalvia; Adapedonta; Solenidae. The record is from RNAcentral.
UGUACCUGCCCUAUGGUUUCUAGAGCUGAAACUAAAUGGUUGCAGCUAAAUGCUGUACUAAGGUAGCGUAAUAAUUUGCCUCUUGAUUGGGGGCUAGAAUGAAUGGUUUGACGUAAAAAAAUUUGUCUCCCAGGGWAAAAKKGUAAAGUUUUCUUUUCAGUGAAAAGCCUGAAAUGGAAUUAAAAGACGAGAAGACCCUGUCGAGCUUGAUAAAGCGUACAGAAUAAUUUGUAUAAAUAAGUUUAGCUGGGGCAGCUCCGAACAAACAAAAAGUUUUGUGUGUAAUUGUGAAGAUCCAAUGUGUAUAUUGAAUAAAGAAAAAGUUACCGCAGGGAUAACAGCGUAAUUUUUUCUGAGAGAACUAAUUGAAGAAAAAGAUUGCGACCUCGAUGUUGGAUUAGGGUUACUUUUUGGUGCAGCAGCUAAAAUAAGUAAGACUGUUCGUCUUUUAAAACUCU